UACGUAGGGGGCUAGCGUUGUCCGGAAUCAUUGGGCGUAAAGCGCGCGUAGGCGGCCCGGUAAGUCCGCUGUGAAAGUCCAGGGCUCAACCCUGGAAAGCCGGUGGAUACUGCCGGGCUAGAGUCCGGGAGAGGCGAGUGGAAUUCCUGGUGUAGCGGUGGAAUGCGCAGAUAUCAGGAGGAACACCUAAGGCGAAGGCAGCUCGCUGGAACGGUACUGACGCUGAGGCGCGAAAGCGCGGGGAGCAAACAGG
This 253-nucleotide ribosomal RNA is filed under the name uncultured bacterium. RNAcentral describes it as "partial 16S ribosomal RNA". It matches the Rfam family "Bacterial small subunit ribosomal RNA", at positions 524 to 776 of the family's 1533-position model. The record is from RNAcentral.